GGUUUUGUAGUGUAGUGGUUAUCACAGCGGAUUCUGAUUCCGCUAACCCCGGUUCGAAUCCGGGCAAGACCU
Molecule: transfer RNA, 72 nt
Filed under: Exophiala xenobiotica
Lineage: Eukaryota; Fungi; Ascomycota; Eurotiomycetes; Chaetothyriales; Herpotrichiellaceae
Description: tRNA-Gln (CTG) (tRNA-Gln-CTG-1-1)
Rfam family: tRNA
About the family: Transfer RNA (tRNA) molecules are approximately 80 nucleotides in length. Their secondary structure includes four short double-helical elements and three loops (D, anti-codon, and T loops).
Source: RNAcentral